UUGAAAGGGAAACGAUUGAAGUCAGUCGUACCGGCGGAUAAUCAACCUUUCGGCGUGAUUAUGUGGAGCGUGGGGAGUUAAUCACUUUCAUGCCUGCAUAUUCGUGUAUUUUGGGUGUACUUAUCUGUAUGGUAGGUUAACAUCAAUUUUGGUCGUUAUAAAAUGACUGGGGAAAUGUGGCUUUGAUUUCGUAUUGAAGUGUUAUAGUCUCUGGUAGAUAUAGUGACCGGGAUUGAGGAUUGCAACGGAUACCCUUUCGGAGCUACUCGUCUGAUCUCUGAUCGUUACUCUGGUGCUGAAAGCUUGCUUACGGUUAUCAAAGUUGAUGGUUAAUAAGUUAGAACGGGUUAAAUUCGUUAAGGAUGUUGACGUA
RNAcentral lists this ribosomal RNA (373 nucleotides) under uncultured Glomeromycotina. Its description in RNAcentral is "LSU rRNA". Lineage: Eukaryota; Fungi; Glomeromycota. The record is from RNAcentral.